Molecule: small RNA, 132 nt
Filed under: Klebsiella sp. BIGb0138
Lineage: Bacteria; Pseudomonadati; Pseudomonadota; Gammaproteobacteria; Enterobacterales; Enterobacteriaceae
Description: Raoultella sp. BIGb0138 Salmonella enterica Typhi npcRNA 44
Rfam family: Salmonella enterica Typhi npcRNA 44
Source: RNAcentral
CUUUAAAAAUCUGGAUCAAGCUGAAAAUUGAAACGACACACUGUUUCCUUUCUCCGUAAUAAGAAAGGAAAAACAAUGUGUUCGAGUCUCUCAAAUUUUCGCAACGCGGACUGUUUUACGAAACAGCUUCGG